RNAcentral lists this unclassified non-coding RNA (240 nucleotides) under soil metagenome. Its description in RNAcentral is "partial contains 5.8S ribosomal RNA, internal transcribed spacer 2, and large subunit ribosomal RNA". The record is from RNAcentral.
AAGACUAUAGACCUGCGGAGUACCUGCGGAAGGAUCAUUACAGAGUUGCAAAACUCCAAACCAUUGUGAACUUACCUUUGCCGUUGCUUCGGCGGGCGGCCCGGGUCCCGACCCGGCGCCCCCCGGCCCCGUCAGGGGCGCCCGCCGGAGGUAAACCAAACUCUUGAAUUGUAUGGCCUCUCUGAGUCUUCUGUACUGAAUAAGUCAAAACUUUCAACAAUGGAUCUCUAGAUCGGAAGA